AUUGAACGCUGGCGGAAUGCUUUACACAUGCAAGUCGAACGGCAGCACGGGUGCUUGCACCUGGUGGCGAGUGGCGAACGGGUGAGUAAUACAUCGGAACGUACCCAGUUGUGGGGGAUAACGAGUCGAAAGAUUCGCUAAUACCGCAUACGACCUGAGGGUGAAAGCGGGGGACCGUAAGGCCUCGCGCAAUUGGAGCGGCCGAUGUCUGAUUAGCUAGUUGGUGAGGGAAAGGCUCACCAAGGCGACGAUCAGUAGCUGGUCUGAGAGGAUGAUCAGCCACACUGGAACUGAGACACGGUCCAGACUCCUACGGGAGGCAGCAGUGGGGAAUUUUGGACAAUGGGGGAAACCCUGAUCCAGCCAUUCCGCGUGAGUGAAGAAGGCCUUCGGGUUGUAAAGCUCUUUCGGCAGGGAAGAAACGCUCUGGCUUAAUACGCCGGGGUAAUGACGGUACCUGAAGAAGAAGCACCGGCUAACUACGUGCCAGCCGCCGCCGUAA
RNAcentral lists this ribosomal RNA (502 nucleotides) under uncultured bacterium. Its description in RNAcentral is "partial 16S ribosomal RNA". It matches the Rfam family "Bacterial small subunit ribosomal RNA", at positions 30 to 523 of the family's 1533-position model. The record is from RNAcentral.